GAUGAAGAACGUAGCGAAAUGCGAUAAGUAGUGUGAAUUGCAGAAUUCAGUGAAUCAUCGAAUCUUUGAACGUACAUUGCGCCCCUUGGUAUUCCAUGGGGCAUGCCUGUUCGAGCGUCAUUUGUACCUUCAAGCUCUGCUUGGUGUUGGGUGUUUGUCUCGCCUCUGCGUGUAGACUCGCCUUAAAACAAUUGGCAGCCGGCGUAUUGAUUUCGGAGCGCAGUACAUCUCGCGCUUUGCACUCAUAACGACGACGUCCAAAAGUACAUUUUUACACUCUUGACCUCGGAUCAGGUAGGGAUACCCGCUGAACUUAAGCAUAUCAAUAAGCGGAGGA
RNAcentral lists this unclassified non-coding RNA (337 nucleotides) under soil metagenome. RNAcentral describes it as "partial contains 5.8S ribosomal RNA, internal transcribed spacer 2, and large subunit ribosomal RNA". The stretch from base 1 to 120 matches the Rfam family "5.8S ribosomal RNA", at positions 35 to 154 of the family's 154-position model. The record is from RNAcentral.